GUUGUGGCUCAGUGGUAGAGAGCUUGCCUGGCAUGUGAGAGGUCCUGGGUUUGAUCCUCAGCACCACA
Molecule: transfer RNA, 68 nt
Filed under: Marmota monax (woodchuck)
Lineage: Eukaryota; Metazoa; Chordata; Mammalia; Rodentia; Sciuridae
Description: tRNA.Ala
Rfam family: tRNA (bases 3-63)
About the family: Transfer RNA (tRNA) molecules are approximately 80 nucleotides in length. Their secondary structure includes four short double-helical elements and three loops (D, anti-codon, and T loops).
Source: RNAcentral